RNAcentral lists this ribosomal RNA (643 nucleotides) under uncultured bacterium. RNAcentral's name for it is "bacterial SSU rRNA". It matches the Rfam family "Bacterial small subunit ribosomal RNA", at positions 232 to 885 of the family's 1533-position model. The record is from RNAcentral.
CGCGGCCUAUCAGCUUGUUGGUGGGGUAGUGGCUUACCAAGGCUUUGACGGGUAGCCGGCCUGAGAGGGUGACCGGCCACAUUGGGACUGAGAUACGGCCCAGACUCCUACGGGAGGCAGCAGUGGGGAAUAUUACACAAUGGGCGGAAGCCUGAUGCAGCAACGCCGCGUGCGGGAUGACGGCCUUCGGGUUGUAAACCGCUUUCGCCUGUGACGAAGCGUGAGUGACGGUAAUGGGUAAAGAAGCACCGGCUAACUACGUGCCAGCAGCCGCGGUGAUACGUAGGGUGCGAGCGUUGUCCGGAUUUAUUGGGCGUAAAGGGCUCGUAGGUGGUUGAUCGCGUCGGAAGUGUAAUCUUGGGGCUUAACCCUGAGCGUGCUUUCGAUACGGGUUGACUUGAGGAAGGUAGGGGAGAAUGGAAUUCCUGGUGGAGCGGUGGAAUGCGCAGAUAUCAGGAGGAACACCAGUGGCGAAGGCGGUUCUCUGGGCCUUUCCUGACGCUGAGGAGCGAAAGCGUGGGGAGCGAACAGGCUUAGAUACCCUGGUAGUCCACGCUGUAAACGGUGGGUACUAGGUGUGGGGUCCAUUCCACGGGUUCCGUGCCGUAGCUAACGCUUUAAGUACCCCGCCUGGGGAGUACGG